GGGUCAGUAGGUUGGUCGUGCCACCGGUACGUACUGGUCUCACUGAUUCCUCCUUCCUGAAGAACCGUAAUGCCAUUAAUUUGGUGUUGCGGGGAAACAGGACUGUUACUUUGAAAAAAUUAGAGUGUUUAAAGCAAGCUAACGCUUGAAUACAUUAGCAUGGAAUAAUGGAACAGGACGAUCGAUCCUAUUUUGUUGGUUUCUAGGAUUGACGUA
This 216-nucleotide ribosomal RNA is filed under the name Glomeromycotina sp. Its description in RNAcentral is "partial small subunit ribosomal RNA". The stretch from base 40 to 216 matches the Rfam family "Eukaryotic small subunit ribosomal RNA", at positions 686 to 864 of the family's 1831-position model. Lineage: Eukaryota; Fungi; Glomeromycota. The record is from RNAcentral.